GACGAACCGUGCGAACGUUAUUCGGAAUCACUGGGCUUAAAGCGCGUGUAGGCGGAUCGGCGCGUCGGCGACUGAAAGCCCCCGGCUCAACCGGGGAAGCGGCGCCGAAACGGCCGGUCUGGAGGGGCGUAGGGGGACCUGGAACUUCCGGUGGAGCGGUGAAAUGCGUUGAGAUCGGAAGGAACGCCCGUGGCGAAAGCGAGGUCCUGGACGCCUGCUGACGCUGAGACGCGAAAGCCAGGGGAGCGAACGGG
This 254-nucleotide ribosomal RNA is filed under the name uncultured bacterium. RNAcentral's name for it is "partial 16S ribosomal RNA". It matches the Rfam family "Bacterial small subunit ribosomal RNA", at positions 524 to 776 of the family's 1533-position model. The record is from RNAcentral.